GUUAGACAUCAGGUUCACCUCAAUAUUCAAAACUUAUAAAUCCUUUAAUACCAUUUCCUCUUCCCCUUUCUCUUUUCACUCCUACUAAUUUAUUACACUUUUGUAUUAGGAUUUGAUGCUCUACGUUGGUAAUUACCAAACUAUUUUAAUCGACUCUUGCUCAUUUUAUUUCUAAUAUGUGCUACAUAUAUUCUCUAACUGA
RNAcentral lists this unclassified non-coding RNA (202 nucleotides) under Hevea brasiliensis (rubber tree). Lineage: Eukaryota; Viridiplantae; Streptophyta; Magnoliopsida; Malpighiales; Euphorbiaceae. The record is from RNAcentral.